AUCAAAGGUUAAUUUAUUAUUGAAGAAAGAAAAAUGUCUCUAUCAAUGAAUAUAGCCUAAGGAUACGGGGUUUAUGAAGUCUACAGUAGUGUACAGCAGUGUCCUAGGCCUUCAUGUUCAUUCAUCAGUAGGUGCACUCACCAACGGACCCAGAGCAACUCCAGUCCUAUAAGCUGCAGUCAUAGUAAGUGCCCUACACAGGUGUACCAUUUUUAAUCCUUUUACCAUUUUUAUUGUACCUUUUCUGUUUAGAUGUGUUUAGAUACACAAAUACUUACUACUGUGUUCCAAUUGCCUAUAGUAUUCAGUACAGCAACAUGCUGAAUGGGUCUGUAGACUAGGAGCAAUGGGCUAUACUAUACAGCCUGGGUUUGUAGUAGGCUAUACCAUCUCAGUUUGUGUAAAUACAUUCUAUGAUGUUCACACAAUGUCAAAAUUGCUUAAUGAUGCAUUUCUCAGAACCCAUCUUCAUUGUUAAGUGACAUAUGACUGUAUAUUAUAAAGAGGCCAAACCCACGCCUGAUGUAUGUCAGCAUGCCUGAGUUACUUAACACAAGGUCUGAGACACAGAGGAUGCUUAUAAUACUGACUAAAUGACUAAUUAAAAAGUUAUUUCCACUAAAUUUUGAAUCAUAUUGUAUCCUUGUUUUGGCAGCAGAUUUACAUCCUUAAUUCUAUCUUGCUUAGCUAAAAUUAACAGGUUUACAUUUUUCAAGUAAACUCUAGAAAUUAGUUGCUUAGAUGCCUGCUAAGUGAUGGGAUCAAGGGAGGCUAAGCUCUAAAGUUUGUCAAGAAAAAGCUACAUGUGAAUAAUUAGGAGUUGCUAGUUAAGCACUCAAACUUUUUUUUUUUUUUUUUUUUUUUGGUGAUAAACUGUAGGAGUUUCUCGGGUCUAAAGGAAGACACAGGAUGUCUUCAGAGAUUGGAGCCACAUUUGGGCCAGGAGCAACUAUUUAAAGGACUCCGCGUCGCUAAAACAAUAAGAAUAGUAUAAAAAAGUACCCAUGUAUUUGGUUGUUUUCUGGACAGGUAAACCCAAGUCUUAAGUAAGGGCCAUGAGUACAGAUGACCACAGAAAAGUUUCCAAAGGAAACCCUGAGUGAGCAAGCUUGACUGUAGUCUACUAUAGACUUUAAAAAUAUCCAUUUGUAUUUUUAGGAGUUCUUACAAAUAUUAAUCCACCAUAAAAGUAAUAACAGCAAGGCCUUGAAAGUUAAUGAUAAUGAAAGGCAAUUUUUAAAUUUUUUUUUAGAGAAAGGGUCUCCCUUAUUGCCCAGGCUGGAAUGCAGUAGUAUGAUCAUAGCCCACUGUAACCUUGAAUUCCCAUGCUCAAGCAAUCCUCCCACCUCAGCCUACCGAGUAGCUGGGACCACAGGCACAUGCCACAAUGAUUGGCUAACUUAUUUUUAUUUUUCUGUAGAGACAGGGUCUCACUAUGUUGCCCAAGGUGGAAAGGCAAUAUUUUUUAAGGUACUAUGUGCUAGGCACUAUGUAAGCUUAAAUCUUGCUGAGCUUCAUAUCUUAGCUACAUCUCUUUUGAUCCUUACAACAAUCCUAUGAAGUGAGUAAUAUUAACAUCCCUAUUGACAGAAUGAGGCUAUGAGAAACUAAGUCACUCCAGUUCACAUGGUUAGUUACUGACACAGCCAGGGUUCGAAACCAGGCCAACUGAGUUUUAACCACUACUCCAAUUAGCUUUCUCUGGGCUUAUCAUGUCUCUCAUGUCAAAUAACGUGUUAUUCUGCCAGCCCACAAGAGUCUUGAGAGCUCAAAGGCCCAUCUCUGGGAGGAUACCGAUGGAAGUGUGUCAUGAGGAUCUUAUCACUCAUCUGAGCUCUGCAUGUCACUCAGGCUCCAUACUCGGCUUCCUCUGUUCUGAUGUACAGUGAUAACCCAGGGCAAGGGGUUUCCAGAAAGACAGCACAUACUCUGGCUCAGCAAGUUACUUAAUCUCACUCAACUGGCCCAGCAGCUGGAUUCACGCAAGUCAGGUGGCCUGGAACUGAUCCUCUCUGGUUGUAGAAUUAAAAAUCUGGCAAGGAUUGGAAAGAUAGUUUACUUAAUAGGGCCUCAAGUAUAGGAAAGCAAUUGAAGGGUGAUUGCAGUGAUAGAAUCACUUGAGAGAGGGAGGUAGGGAAACUGUAAGUUACUAUAAAGUUGUGACCUUAUUUUAAACUAGAAAACUUAGUGGUCUCUUAUGUCUUUUGACUUUCAAGCAUUCCUGUGAGAGGGCUGGCAUAAAUGAUUGUUAAUGCUGUUGAUGGGAAAUUUAAAGUAGGAGGAAUCUGCCUACUGGCUUUUAAGAAAAGGUGAUUUCCUGCAAGAUGACCUAAUUGGUUAGGAAACAGAUAAGUGAACCUUCUCUAUGUUCACUUUAAGAGGAAGUUCUAAAAAUUGAGGUGCUCACUCCCUCUCUCUCCUUUUUGAUGAUUGUGAUAUUUAGACCUGCCAAAGCAGUAUAACUUCAUUGUCUGGAAUUUGGUUAAUUCCAAUGCAAAUACAAAAAUCAAAUACGUGAACUGAGCUUUGAAAAUAUUUUCAUUUUUGAGGAUUUUCAUUGUUAUGGGAUUGAGCCUGUAGAAGUCUCUGUGUAAGCUACAUAGAGCAAAUCUAAUCUACUCACACUGAAGUCAGGGCUCUGUAAAAGACUGUGGGAACAUUCAUUCUCCACUCUCUCAGAGACUCUUUUAGGUAAGUCAAAGCAUGUUCUCUUUCUGUGAUUGCUAACCCAUCUGUAAAAUGUGAAUAAUAAUUCUGGCCUCCAGGCAACCAGAGGUUCUUGAUGACCCUUAGAUGAAGAUACUUGAUAUGUAUAAGUGACAGGAACAAUGAUGAUCAAACACUGAAGAUGAAAUUCUAGGGAGGAAAGAAGUUUAAUCAUUAUCUCCUGCAUUUUUUAUUCUGUUAACAAUGAGGCAAGAUAGUAAAUCUUAGUUGCAAAGUGGUUAAAACACAUGAUUUGGAUUCUGGAAUAUCUUUCAUGACUAUCUUUUGGAUCCAAUUCCUUACUCAUUUGGUGUGGGAGUUGGUUAUGAAGACGAAUUUCUCACAAGGCAAGGAGCUGUCUCUCUGCUCUGUAUACAUGGGGUGUAGCCCUCGUGCAAUCAGACUGGAGGAGGAUAACCAGGUUGCUAUGUAGCCUUGAUUUCCAAAAAGGUGAUGGGCUUCUGGUACCAACCCGUGUCAGUAUUUAGAAGAGGCCUGUUGGAAAGCUCUUAAUGAGAAAGCUCCUUCUCUGAAAACAUUUCAAUUUAUGACUCCUGUGCUAAGCAUUUCUAGGAGAUCAAACUGAAUCUCUAGUGCAUAACAGAAAAGCAUUUGCCCUGCAGCAAAAGGGUCAACUUUAAAAGAAUGCUUUUCCAUGUUAAAAAAAAAAAAGUCAAAAAAACAAAGCAAUGACUCCCAAAAUAGGAACAGAGGGGAAGGAAAAGUUCAUGGCCUUAGCGGACUGGAUAUUCUGGAUAUUUGGUCCCUCCAGUCCCUGCAGAUGAAAGCCCAUUUAUUUAGAGUAGAAAGAGGAAAUUUAAAAAAAUAAAGGAAUAACAAUACCUACAAAUGUUUUCAGGAUUGAAAUAAAUCCAGGGAAGAAGAUGGUAUGUUACCACUGGAACUGCAUUCUCGUUCAUAUCUCUUGUCCUCACGUCCUGAAGCACAUUCCAUGUAAUGCAUGAUAGCCUGUGGCCAGCUGCUGGCUAGAAAGCAGGACCCUGCAGUUCUAUUUCUGACUCCGUCUGGGCUUUUGAUGAGACCAGGUGGGAGAAGGAGAGUAGUGUAACAAAGAACCUCAGAGUAGGCCUUGGUAAUGAGCAGUUACCUAACCUCACUGAGCCUCAGUUUCCUCAUCCAUGACAAGAAGGGGUAAAUGACCUCAAUAGUUCCUGCCUUAUUAAAAAACUUUGAGUCUUUGGUAUUUUGAUGAUAUGAAUGAGUUCCUCAUCGAGAACCUCACUUGUUCCAGGAAGUUUGAGAAUGCACCACUCCAUGCGCUGUCUUUGAAUCGCUGUGCCCUACCCAGCACCCGUUUGUGCUUGAAAAGAGCACAGGCAUGGGUUCUUUUGCUGAUAGCAGAUUUCUCUCCAGACUAGAGAUUUUCUUAGUCUACCCUACUUAGUAAGACUUUAUGAUGGGUAAACCUGUGCUGACCAGUGGCCAAGUCCCAGCAAACACAACUUCAUAGUAACAAAGCUUAAAGACGGGAGUCUGAGUGCGAGACUAGGGAUCAGAAGGAUUCAAUUCAUUCAUUCAAUUCAUCAUCCAUUCAAUUCAGCUUCUCCUGUUUAAAACUAGGCCCCUGGCACUUGCUGAGCAUGGUUCUUUAUUGGACCAUCCAUUUGAACUGGGGAAGGGACUGAGAAUCUUGGUUACCUCUCUUGGCAGGUCAUCAGUUCUUGUUCCAUUCAAUGCAGAAUUUUAGCAACAAAAGGCGAAGAGGAUGAGUAAGUUAUUAAAGCUGGGAAACUGCCUAUAAUAGGUUAUUUUUAGAAUAAAGAUUCAAGAUGACCUACAAGCUCUGUGAGACCACAGGACAAAGGUGUCAAAGAAAAGAGACUGGGAUAGGCUCAGACAUUUAUCUUCCAGCAAAAUUAAUUUCCUUGAGGGCUUGUGGUUCACUAACUGAAUCUGUGAACCAGCUGUAUUUAGGGUGCAUUCUACUUCCUUGGGUCUCUAAAAUUGACAAUGGUCUAUAGGUCAGGUUCCAACGGAAGUGAUAUUUCUGACCUAGCUCUAUAAAUAGAGCACUGGAAAAAACCCAUCAGCUGCAAUGGCUCAGGGACCACACGCUAUCUAUUAAGUAAGCAACCGCAGUAUUUGUGCUACCAUUUUAGAUACGAAAAAAUAUAUCUUUUGUUAUUUAUAAUCUUCUGAGCUUUGAGAUUCUCAAAAUACUUUAAAGCUAUUAGUCGUCUUUCAGAUUUAUAAAUACAGGAUCUGAGGCAUAAAACUAUGUAAUAACUGCUUCAACUAAUACCAUUUACCCACCGAGGAAGGCAUUUGGCUGGUAAAGAAUGGGCUGCUUCACUUUAGUAAAGCAGAAAAUUUCAUUCCUGAUGUCUCUUGGCUGGAGGUGAAAGGAGUGAAUGCAGUCCAGAGGCUUUACUUGCACAACAUACCUAGGCUGAUGCAAGUCUCAGCAAACUCGUUACUGAGAAAGGUAAGAAAUGUGAAGCAGAAGACAGGAAGAAGUGAGGCAAUCAGAACCUCUGGAAUGCAAGAGUUAGGGAUGGAUCCUCCAUAGCACAAGGUAGGGGAGAAGCGGGGGUGAGCCAUCCACUAGGCUAGAGACUGGUAUGCACCAGCACAAAUCACUCAACAACUCCACUGGCUCAUGGACAGGGAGAAAAUACCUUCAGUUUCCCAGAGUCUUAACAAAAUACUUUAAGUUCUUAUCCAACCAGGACAUUUUUGAAAAUGAAAUGGGGACAUUUUAAUAGUUAUACUGGGAUAACAGAGAUAAACUGAGCUUGCCCUGAGAAAACCAAGACAUAUGUUAUCCUACAGAGAUACUAUGUAGGAACUGUCCAGAAUCACAGUGAGCAUGCUCACUUUAUACGAAAAGCUUCAGUCUGUACUAGGAUUCUCUGCUGUGUCUGCAGUGUCGAUCAUCAAGGUCUCAAAGAUGGCAAGGAAAACAAUAGUAGGCAUAAGAAGAACAGAACUAGAUUGUCUGAAUAAAAAGAAGCAAUCUCCUCCCAUCAGCUCAACUCCCAACAUUCUCCAGGAGGCCAUGCCCCUGAACCUUUUCUCCAAUACAGCUUUCCCCUUGCUACCUUCUACUUAAGGAAAGGAAAAAAAAAAUCCUGAAUGGUGACUUGUAGUGAAAUCUCUUGACCUUUGCAAAUAAGUUUUUAAUUAAAAAUAAAUUCACUCAUUACAGAAAACACAUAUUACCCUUAAGUAAAUACUAGCAAAAUAAAACAAAGAAAACAAAAACCUAACCAUUUAAAGAAAUCUGUGGCACUUUCUCUUUAAAUUUAGCUUCAUUCAAGACAAGCCAGAAAGAUGCUUGCAUAAAAUAUGUUUUUUUUCCCCCACAGUGUGUUCUAUCUGUUCACCAUGAAAUCCUCAGACCACACCUUUCAGCUGUCCUGGUAUGAGCUUUGCUUUCCUGCUCCCAUUGUAGAGUCAGAGGCAGCAGGCGGAUACCAGAGUUGAAUUCUAAUAAGUCUUGUGUAUUAUACAUGGUCACCAUCUCAUUUUUUGACCACUUGAUGUUUGUUUCAGAUGGCACUGGCUGAGGCAGAAUGAAUACAGCUGCUGAUUCUGAUCUCACACUGGGUAUAUCCCUGAGUGCUGGAAAAAACAUCACCCUCAGAAGUGUGCAUUCAGCCAGCUGCCUUUGGAGAGAGCUGGGAAGGGUGCAAAGUGGCAUGUCCUUUACCAGUCACUCUUUCUGGGCCAAUGCUUAUCCAGAAAUGAGACAGAACUAUGGGUUUACUGCAAAUGACCAGCAUCCGCAAAGUGAUCAAGACUACCAACUUUGGGUAAUGUGUCCCACAUCUCAGAUGUCAGUUGAUAUAAGACAUUACAGUAAAGAAUUAUGAGUGUUCACUCUGCAAUGAAAAAAUGAACCAGCAGAAGGUGAAUGUGAAAGACUAAGAAGAGCCCUGCAGAAAACCCGUUAGCCCAUGUUUUCAUCUGUAAUGUGGAUGUGGGAUAGGAAGAGGGACAACGACAUAGUACCGACCAGGUUCCAGAAACUAUUCCAAGUGCUUUACGUGAUAAAAAUCUCUUAAUUGUCUCAACGACCAUACGAAGUAUAUCUCUAGUGUUGCCCCUAUUUUAUAGAUGACAAAACCUUACUGAUAUCUGUAUAGCUAGUAAGUAGGAGAGACAGGAUUCAAUCUGUCAGCCCAACUCUGCCGGUGCCCGUGUCCCUGCUCUGUGAUCCUGACAGGCAGCCACAGCCAGGAGUCCGUCCUUGUUUUAGAUAUUUCCCAUGUCUGCUGCUCAACUAGACCCUAACGGUGGAUUCUUGGUACAUCCUUACCCAAGGAUAACCCAUAAGUUUUCAUGACAUUACCACGGACUCGUCUUGCUUGUGAAACCAAGUAAUAGUAAAAACAGAAGAAUCAUGUGUUAAAAAUUUUUUGAAGUAAAUGAUUCUGUCAUCAUUAUUCUUAAAGAAAGUGAUGUACCCAAGGUCACACACUUAGUCACUGGUCAGUCCUGGGGCAAACACCCCUUGAUGUCCAGCCCUUGAGUCAGGAUGAUUGCUUCAUCUAGAAGGCACCAUGGGCACUCUGCCUGAAUCCAGGAACCUCUGGAGUUGUAUAUGGCUCUGUCCAAGACAAAGGAAUCCGCUGUACCAGAUCCACAGAAGCCCUGGCUCUAAAUUAAAAACAGCACAACAACAACAUUGCAGCAACAACAAAAUAGUAAUACAAUAAAAGGUGGGAAGACCUCGAGAGCAUAAAAAUUUCCUUAAACUGAUCAUCAAGGAAAGGAAAGGGAGGAUUCCUUCUUUAAAGAGGCAAGUGCCUGCCAGCAGGAACCUAAAACUCAUUAUUAUUCUGUAUUUUCUUUUUUCAUGACUAAAAAGUUUUUCUAUCCUCCCCCUUCCUAUCCCUAUCAAAAGACUACCCCCUCCACAAGACAAUCACAAACUUUAAAAGUAGCAAGCCCUCACUUCAAACAAAAUGUAAAAAUAAAAAUUCAAAAACCCAUAGUGUUUGCAAAACAGCUUUGUAUGGAGGAAGGGCAAAUCUUAUCUUAAGAGAGGCUAAUUUCAUAGGAAUCGGGCAAAGAGAGGAGAGGUAGAAAGGGUGGGAGCACAGAAGAAGGGGAGGCGGGAGAGGAGGGGAUAAAGGAGGAAGAAUCGCUGGCUUUAAAAAGCAACAUUGUCCAGAGAGGUGAAAGGGAACAGAUGGCCGUGGAGAAUGUGGCCCUCAAAGCCUGAAGAAAGGGGGGGAUGCCGACAGAUCUUGCUGUUUCCCAUUGAUGCCUGAAUGUUCUGGUGCGGGGAGCCGAGGCCAGUGCAGGGGACGGACCUCUGUUCCCAGCAGCUCACUGGGGCACUGGCGCUGAGGCUCACUGAGAAAAAGAGCAGGCGGGGGUGAGGGGGGCUGGAGGCAGCUGUGGCUGCAGAGGGAAAGGACAGUGGGCAGCAUCGGAGACGUGCGGCUUCCACAGCCUUCUCUUUUGGCCCAGCCCAGGGAGGUCAGCCCAGUGCUGGUCUUUGCCCUGGCAGAGGUGAAGUAAAGGACAGGAGCCCGGGCCCAAAGCCUCAGCAUCCUUCCCCUCAAAACCCACUGGGGGAGCCCUGUCUGGGAUAAAGUAGAUACCUUGGGAGAGGGAAAUGAAGAAAAUAUUCCAAAUGCUUUCAGAGGAUUGAGACAUUCAAAUUAAAAUAAACAAGAAAUCUGGGUCUCUGAAAAAGGUCAGAGAAUCCUGCCAAGGAAACCUUAUAUUAUUUCAUGGAGUCUCAAGGCAGAGAAGUGAUUUGCUGAGAAAAACAAAAAUGAGUUGGUGGCAAACCCAGGAAGGAAUCCAAGAGUCAGUUUCAGAGGACUGAGUCAGCCCCCAAAGAGGUUCAGGAUUCAAGGUGGGCCUCCCUGGUCAUUGCUUGUAGCUGUGCCACACCGGAGGAUUGUUACUGGAGACUCACAAGUCAGUACAGGGCAGCACUAAUACAGGAACCUCUGGCCAGCUGGCGAGCCCGUCCUUCCUGGAGGGAAAAGCCCAGCAGCCCCUGCAGAUGGAGGCCUGAGAACUUGGGAAGGUGGGGAAGGGUUUGCGGAAGCAGCGAUUACAAAGAGGCUCAUAAACUUUAGGGGACAAAGAUGCAAUCACUGUAAUUUCCUUAACUUAACUUUGAUCAGAGAAAUUAUCAUUCCAAAUGACAUCUUGACCUCUCCCUACACCUGCAGAAGAUGUUGAUAAAAUUCAGCCCUGCUCCUGCCGACUAAAGAGGGAGCCACCUUCUGCCUGGCUCACUGUUCAGUCAGCCCACAGAGACUGCACAAGUUCAAAACAAAAUUCCCCCAGUUCUUCUCUUCCUCUGUCUUCUUCCCUGGCCCUAAAAAUGAGAAAGACCUGAAUUUGGGGCAGACGGUCUUUCAAACAGUGGGGCAGGAGUUUGCAGAAACAGAUCCCUCAUCAGAACAAUCUUUUGGAAACAUUCCCACACAUUUCAGGGCCCCAAAAACAUCACCCUCUGUGAGAGUAAAGGAAGUUAAAAGGGGGCCCUAAAUAUAUUUAGUGACCUGGCAAGUUCACCUUUACCUGGGGCUAGGCCUCCAUUGCCAUGUCAAAGAGCCACCAAGCCCCACGUUUUGCACUGUAGAUGCAUCUGAGUCACUGAGAAAAUUCCCAUGGAGCGGCUCAAUAAAAAAAGAUCAACCAUGAUAAAGACCUUGCCUUUUAUUUCCCUGCUUCAACCAAAUUGCUCCCCAGGCGCUUUAGAUUUAGAAGCUCUACUAAUCAACCUUAUAAACAGCAGCCCAGCCACUGCAUAGAAAUUACUUUGUAUAGCUCCUAAGCGAAAUUACCCCAGGGGAUAGAAGAUGCCCAAGGCUUUAACAAUCACACCAUAACACAGCCUCAGUAUGAGAAUAGAGGACAAGCACACUUUGACAUCCCAAUUGAAACUCCGGGCUGAAUCCGACAUAGAAGAAUGUAAUUACCUUUCCUAGUUUGACGGUGCACUGAAGAAACUGGAGAAGCGGAAUACCUAUUAGGUUCCCACUAAUCCUCCUCCUAAAUUCAAAGCAGGGCUAGUCCCUGGAAUUCAUUUCUGAGUAUCCUUACUCUCUGCUAUUGUUAAAUAGCUCAAUUGAUAAGUCCUUCCAGCUAAUAAUGUUUUCCACGGAGCUCACCCCCUCCUCUUUCCCAGCAGCUCAAAGCACUUUACAAAUAUCACCUCAUUAUUCUUUAUAACACUCAAGUGAGCCUGAUAGGUGGAAAGGUUAAUUAUCUUCUCCUUCCCAAUAGGGGAAAUAGACAAAGGAAGGAGAAGUGACUCGCUGAAGCCAGCAAAGCAGAGGCAGAACUGGAACUAAAACUCAGCCAUUCUCCUGACUCCAAACACACACAUGUCCUAUGUCAGCUUGUAAAGCUGUUCUGCUGACAGGGCAGGAUUUUCUCGGCGUGGGCUGUGUUGUAAUCAACAGGUCUGCAGAACUGGGGCACCAGGCUGGAGGGGAAAGGGCAUGAGUCGAAAUGGGGAGGCCCCACUCAAACAGCCUUCACUAGUAUGGACCAGUUUCUUUACCUCCGAAUCUCAGUGUCCUCCUCGGAAAAGGAGGUGUGUAGAUUAUAGGAUCUUUCAGGUUCCUCCCAGCUCUUAGGUAAUUGGUGAAGUGAGAGUUUCAAAAGAGGGUUCUAUUAUUCACCAGCCCCUUGUGAUCACGUGGGCCUCAUUCCUCUUGUAAGCCUGAAAUAGCAUCUUUGUUUAUAGAGUGCCCUAUGUCAUCCACUGUCCACCCAGUGGGGAUCAAAUCAUUCAGUUCAAAGUGGCAAAUGGGAGAGAGAGUCCUAUAGGGCAUCAAGGCCAAGCACUAAAGAGAUAUGGAGACAGGCAGGGAGCAGGAAGACAGAAGACUAGAAGGGUCAUAAAAGGAAGAAUUGGCAAACAACAUCUUGAGCUGUGCCUUGGUCCUCACCAGGGCACCCCCUACAUUCCAAGGAACCUAUGACAAGCCUUCCGAAGCAUAAGAAGAUUCCAAAAAAACAGGGUUUGCUUGGGUUUUUCUAAAUACAGGAUUUACUUGCCAACCCCAAAACCCAAGUGAACAAUGCCCCAAUGUACCCUGUAGUGGUGGUUUUCCAUUUAAACAGAAUUUGAUUUUAAUGAAAUAACAUUGAUGUACCUUCCUCAAGUUAAUUAAAACCAGAUUAUACAGGUGGUGCCAUAGUUUGUAAUUUGUAUUGCUUGAGCCAGAUAAACCUGAGCCUUUAGAAAACCUGUAGUAUUUCAUCUCUCUGAUUUUCUACACUUUCUCUUCCUAAAUGAUGCUUUGCUACUCCUCAUUUGCCAUAAAGUGAGUUGGAGAGAGAGGACAUUUAGUAAAACCAACAUUUAUUUGUAGGGGAAGCAGCCCCCGCAACCAGAAUAAUGACCUUGGAAAUGGUUUUGUGUGAUGGGGCGAUUGCAGUGACUGGAUAUAAAGGACUGACUGUGCAGCUGCCAGAAAGAAACACAUUUUUGUAAUAUCUGAGUUGUUUCUAUUGGCCUGGUCUGCCUUGCAUUCACCAUGGGAACUGAGUCAACAAGUUUGCUUGCUUUUCUUUCAUACAGAGCAUUUUUUUUCCACAUACAGGGUAAAAGGAAUAAAGAAUAGAUAUCCCCUGAAAGUCAAAGGCUUCAUGAUAAAAAAAAAAUGGGUAUAAUGUUAUUAUUUAUCUCCAAGUCCAGUUGUAAAGGCAACUGGUUGUAAGCUCUAUUCCAUCUGCUCUCUCUGAGGACCUCAGCCUGCCCUUGUGGAACCUUCUUUCUGGGAAGUUAAAGAAUUUCCAGGAUUAGCUCAAGUCCUGAGGCUGCCAACUGUGACAAUCUACAAAGGUCUCUUAGGUAAUAAUUCAGAUCCCAUUUCUGCUCAAGGCCAAGAUGGUCCCCAGCGAGUUGGAAAUAUUCUUGUUUCCUGGACCUAGACCAUAAAGUGAGUUGACCUUCCAACAUCUUGGAAGGGCAAGCUCAGCAUCUCCGCAUACUAAAGACUCAACAACUGAUAUAUAUGUGACAACACAAAUGAAACUGAAUUUAAAAAGCAGGGGUUAAGGGUCAUCAGAAACAAUGUGAAAAAGAAAUGCUACAUGAAAAGAAAGAAGAAAGGAAAGAAGAAAGAAAGAAAGAAAGAAAGAAAGAAAGAAAGAAAGAAAGAAAGACAAGUCUCAUAAAUUUAAUAAUUUAUCUCCCACCUAAUUCUGGAGGAAAGUAUCUUGUGAACAUAUCCUAAACUGAACUUUUGAAUUCUCCAAAAGAAAGCCAAGUUUCCAAUGCUGAUUAGAUAAAAUGCCAAAUUCCUUUCACCAUUGCAAUCCCAAGUUGGGAAAGAAUGAAUCAAUACUCUCAGCUUGUCAGGUGUCUUGGAGACAAGUACGUCUUUAGAUCCUACCAGGGACUGCAUUAGUGUAAUGAGGUCUAGAGGACACCCUAAUCCUUCCUCUGACGCUCUUUCUCUAUGUAUCUCAGUAGUGCAGACAUCUGAGUAGUUGGUGAAACACUAAAGUAAGCUUCUAACCCAGCUCUGUGACUAACUCAUUCUGUGACCUCCUUAAGCCUCAGUUUCCCCAACUGAAAAAUGAAGUAUGACCACAGGGCCUCUAAUAUCCCUUCCAACUCUUAAAUAUCCUACUAUUGUAUCUCUGCAUAGAUUUGCUCCAUCACUUUUCCCAGCCACAGUAUAUUCUCUACCUUUCAGUUUCAUUCAAUGCUGGUCUGUCUCCAAGGGUCCCAGACAGUCAGUGUCUGAGGAGUCUCAGGCUAUAAAUUCAAACCUUACUGACUAAUAGGAAUAUUUACUUCUCUCAUCCCUGCAGUGUAAACUCAAUGUCAGAACACUAGUGUUCCAGGUGACCUCACUCAGACAAAUCCAAUGGCAUAUGCCAAUAGAUACAAUCCUAAAUGGGUAAGGAUGAAGACCCCAAAUGUGAAUAUUUAGCAAGUAAACCAAAAUGAUAACAGGCUAAGCUCACAGUAUGAACAUCUAGGAAUAAAUGAAUAGCUUUUAAAAUAAAUGACCAGAACUUCGAGGCGUAGAUUUUUCCACUACUCAAGAUUUGCAAUCUAGUUAUGACCUAGCUCAGCAACUAUAUCCACAACAAUGGAUUUCCACAAUGUUAGUUGAGGAAAUUUUAGGAACAGUCAGCAACUCCAAAAAACUUUUCAUUCAAGGAUUCCAAAAUGUUAUGUAAGUAUUAUUUCUUAUGAUCCCAAACAGAUGUGGAGAUGAGGCUCUUCGUCUGAGAAAUAAGGAACAUUUUACAGACUUGUCUCAGAUUAUAGAGUAAGCCAAGAGUUGAACAGAGACUCUAACAAGCCAUUCUCAGAAUUAUUCAGUUCCUAAUCUGUUACAUAUUCGCAGAAUACCUAGGUUUAAAACAGUAGAGAGUGAUUUAGAAGAUUCAUUGAGAAACAAGAGGCCCAACUUGGUCUUGAUUACCAGAUUUCCCUAGCAAUCAGUGAUCCAUUUGUUCGCUACCUUUAUUUGGAAGUCUUUUGGAAGCCUGACUGAGACGGAUCAAAUCUACAUCGGACAAAAUGAUUAAUAUAAAUACUUAUGGGUACUUAAAAAAUAAUUUUCUACUUUUCUGUAUUACCUAUUAGUCAAUUCAGAAUAUAGCCUCAUUACAACGACCAACAUUUAGAACACAUUGGUAGAUCUGAUAUAUCAAACAACAAAGCAAAUCACAAAGUAGUAUGCACACUAUGGUCUAAUUUUGGAAAAAAAGUUAACAUAAGUAUAUACAUAGAAAAGUGGCUAGAAGGACAAACACUGACAUAUUAAUGUAGUAGGAUUAUAAUUUUUAUGUUUCUUCUUGGGAGCUAUCUAUAUUUUCUAUGGGUUAAUAAAACAGCAUGAAUAAACUUCAUAAACAUAACAUUGAGUAAAAGAAAAUAGUACCAAAGAGAACCUGCUAUAUGACUCCAUUUAUAUAAAGUUCAAAAACAGGCAAAACUAAUCCAUGGUUGUAGAAGUCCAGAUAGUAGUUAGUUACCUUUGGGAUGAGGGUGGAGGGGUGGGAUGGGGUCAUGACAGGAAGGAGGAGCUUCCAUGGGCGCUAUUAAUGUUAUGUUUCUUAAUCUGGGUGCUGGUUACAUGUGUGCUCAGUGAGAAAGUUCAUGGAGCUAUACACUACGAUGUACACACUUUUUUGUUUACAUAUUAUACUUCAUUUAAAAAGUUACUUAAAAAAACAAAACAACUGAAUCCAGAGGCUUCCUCACACAUAUUGUCAAGAAGUCUAGAAGAAGGACUCUUUUUGGGGACGGGGAGAGCCAUAUUUCCAUAGUUCCAUUUCUGAAUUCUGAAAUAUGGCUCCAUAAAAAUGGGAAGAGAAAUACAAAUUUACAUCAUUGAAGGCUCCCGACUUGUGAAUAACAACAUCGUUUGCCAUCUCCCUUGACAACAUGGUAUUAAUGGCGACUCUGAAAAUCCAAGUUUUCAUUCAACUUAGACUCACUAUAAGGGUUAAUCAUUCAGCCUGGACCAGAUGCAGCCACGCUGGGAGGUGCACUUCCCACAUCAGGGCUCCAUUCAUGAAAACAAGCUAAAAGUGGCUGAGGCUGCUAGAAAGGAAGCUCUGUGAGGGCAGGGACUUUGUAUCCUCACCGCCUGAUGUAAGACCUAGCAUAGAAUUGGGGUUCAGUAAGUAUUUUUGAAGUGAGUGAAUAUAUACAUUCACUUUCAAAAAGAAGUGUGUGUGUUCGGCUCAUGUAGAAAUUAUGAGGGACAGUAAAGGAGAGAGAAAAGGAUGAAAUAGAAUGAUAUAUACUUGAUUGGUGAUAUAUGUCUCUGAUUGUCCCUUCAGUGUUUCUCAACUAAAUCAGGCUAACUAAGGCAUGGGAAGAUUUAUGUUGCUGUAGAUGUUUAGGAAAACCAACUAGAAGAACAACACUGUCCAGGCUGAGUGUGGUGGCUCAUGCCUGUAAUCCCAGCACUUUGGGAGGCCAAGGUGGGUAGAU
This 14623-nucleotide long non-coding RNA is filed under the name Homo sapiens (human). RNAcentral's name for it is "HSALNT0377663". Lineage: Eukaryota; Metazoa; Chordata; Mammalia; Primates; Hominidae. The record is from RNAcentral.